GUCGUUGUAGUAUAGUGGUGAGUAUUUCCGCCUGUCACGCGGACGACCUGGGUUCGAUCCCCGGCAACGGCG
Transfer RNA from Selaginella moellendorffii, 72 nucleotides. It matches the Rfam family "tRNA". From Rfam's summary of the family: Transfer RNA (tRNA) molecules are approximately 80 nucleotides in length. Their secondary structure includes four short double-helical elements and three loops (D, anti-codon, and T loops). Further hydrogen bonds mediate the characteristic L-shaped molecular structure. tRNAs have two regions of fundamental functional importance: the anti-codon, which is responsible for specific mRNA codon recognition, and the 3' end, to which the tRNAs corresponding amino acid is attached (by aminoacyl-tRNA synthetases). tRNAs cope with the degeneracy of the genetic code in two manners: having more than one tRNA (with a specific anti-codon) for a particular amino acid; and 'wobble' base-pairing, i.e. permitting non-standard base-pairing at the 3rd anti-codon position. The record is from Rfam. Lineage: Eukaryota; Viridiplantae; Streptophyta; Lycopodiopsida; Selaginellales; Selaginellaceae.